GGCUCAGCCCUGGUGAGACAAAGUUCCAGGCAGAAAGAAGGGGUGAUGCAUGGGCUUGGUGAGAUUCAGGAAAUGAACGAAGGCCCAUGGGAUGGGGGCAGGGUGAGUGAGGGGGCUGGUGGCAGGAGAUUCGACUGGAUCAGAGAGGGAGGCAGGAGCCAGCGGGGUAAGUGUUCCUGGGCACUUCAGAGAAGUUGGUGUUGAGAGAUGAAGGCUUUCUGUGUGAGCUUUUGUGGUAGAGACACACCAUUGUUCACCAAAAUCCCCUGAUUCUUUUUUUUUUUUUUUCGGGCUGUCAGGAAUACUAUCUGCUGUGCCAUUGGGUGUGGCUGUGUGACAUAGUUAUAAAGCCAGAAUGGGAGCAGAAGUGAUGUCCCUACUGCCUGUCCUGGCCUGCAAAACGUGCCCACAAGUUCUCCUCUUCCUCCUUUCUUCGCAUCUGGUUAACUGAGAUGGGAACAAUCACAAGAGUGGUGAAAGCCUUGUGUUGAAGAUGGCAGAGUGGCCUCUAGUUUGGGUUCAUGAAUGACUUCAUGGGGCAGAACGCCCACCCCCAGCCUUACCACAGCCUUUCUGACCUGGAACCGCCUUGGAGUGCAACAUGUGAAGAAAAAUCAACACCCUGUUCUAACUGUGGAAAGCUGGUCAUUGCAGCACAGCCCAACUAAUACUGCCAGGAAGACCUUGGCAAUGAAACCUGAAGUCCUGUGGGUCACAGGGGAGAGAACAGGAUCUUUAGGAUUUCCCCGGCACCGAGAGCCUCCUGGUCUCUACCGACACCACCAGGCGCUGACCACAGCUUUCUCCGGAAAUGGUAAGUCCUUCACCCGGACUGCCCCCAGGUAGCCAGGCUGAACACCCAAGAACCCAGAGUUCCUGGCUCCUCCCACCACAUCCGGACUUGGAUGAAACGUCACACUGAUUCUUACUGCCAAAAGGGCCACUGACAACACCUAGCACUGUUGGGGAGUUAGCUUCCUGUGGACUGAAUCUUCACUAAUGGAAAACAGGAGAUGAGAGGGAGACUGGCAGACGAAUCCCCCUUCCUCCUCCCUGCCAUGGCUAUCAUGUCUCUCUGCAGCCCUUUCAGAGACGAACCAUAUGCCAGCCAGACAUGCUUGCUGAGUACCCUGCUGUGAUCUCUGAGGCUUGGCAUAAAGUGUCAGCCAGAAGGACAAUGCACCAUUUCACACAUCCUCAUAUUUCUUUGCUUUGCUUUUCCUUGUCUCAGCCUUGCUGCCUUUGUUUGCAUUUCCUAAAUGUAAUAGUUAAUUUUAUGUUUCAAUCUGUUUGGGCCAUGGUGUCCAGGCAUGGUAUCAAACAUUUUUCUGUGAAGAGAUAAAUUUAUAUAUUUGGGAGGCUAUUUUGGGGGUGAGAUUAACAUUUAAAUCAAUGGACUCUGAGGAAAGCAGACUCUUUCCCAUAAUAUGGGUGGGCUUCAUUCAACCAGCUGAAAGUCUGAACAGAAUAAAGGGCCGACUUCUUUUGAGCA
RNAcentral lists this long non-coding RNA (1492 nucleotides) under Bos indicus x Bos taurus (hybrid cattle). RNAcentral describes it as "lncRNA (ENSBIXG00000002701.1)". The record is from RNAcentral. Lineage: Eukaryota; Metazoa; Chordata; Mammalia; Artiodactyla; Bovidae.